RNAcentral lists this ribosomal RNA (554 nucleotides) under uncultured bacterium. Its description in RNAcentral is "bacterial SSU rRNA". It matches the Rfam family "Bacterial small subunit ribosomal RNA", at positions 102 to 664 of the family's 1533-position model. The record is from RNAcentral.
ACGGGUGAGUAACACGUGAGUAACCUGCCCUUAACUCUGGGAUAAGCCUGGGAAACUGGGUCUAAUACCGGAUAUGACUCCUCAUCGCAUGGUGGGGGGUGGAAAGCUUUUUGUGGUUUUGGAUGGACUCGCGGCCUAUCAGCUUGUUGGUGAGGUAAUGGCUUACCAAGGCGAAUACGGGUAGCCGGCCUGAGAAGGAGACCGGCCACUCUGGGACUGACACACGGCCCACACUCCUACGGGAGGCAGCUGUGGGGAAUAUUGCACAGUGGGCGCAAGCCUGAUGCAGCGACCCCGCGUGAGGGAUGACGGCCUUCGGGUUGUAAACCUCUUUCCGUAGGGAAGAAGCCAAAGUGACGGUCCCUGCAGAAGAAGCGCCGGCUAACUACGUGCCAGCCGCCGCGGUAAUACGUAGGGCGCAAGCGUUAUCCGGAAUUAUUGGGCGUAAAGAGCUCGUACUGCGGUUUGUCGCGUCUGCCGGUGAAACUCCGGGGUCUCAACUCCGGAUCUGCGAGUGGGUACUUGGCAGACUAGAGUGAUGUAUGGGGAGACUG